Neofelis nebulosa (Clouded leopard) is the source of this 1718-nucleotide long non-coding RNA. RefSeq lists it as uncharacterized. The record is from RefSeq and is a predicted model, not a curated record. Lineage: Eukaryota; Metazoa; Chordata; Mammalia; Carnivora; Felidae. The transcript has 3 exons.
AGAGGGAGACACCGAAUUUGAAGCAGGCUCCAGGCUCUGAGCUGUCAGCACAGAGCCCGAUGCGGGGCUCGAACUUACGAGCUGUGAGAUCAUGACCUGAGCUGAAGUUGGAUGUUCAACCUACUGAGCCACCCAGGCACCCCGCCAUGGCCGUUUUUAUUAUGGUUGUCUUCCUUCAGGACUCUCCUGGGGUCAACGAAAAUAAUAGUUUGCUGGAAUCUCUAUUUUUAAUCCGGAAUUAUGAUAUCCACCCACACAGAAAGAAGACAUCAUGACUAGUGCCACCAUGAGCCACUGUUCGCUUUGGUGUUGGCCACCCCACUGCCCUCUGGGACAUAGGAAGACAGCCUCCUGAACUGGCAGCAAUUGAGGAUAUAGAUGGACAAACCUCAAUUUCCUUUACUCCUUUGGCUCCUGUUUCCACUUAGCACAGAUGUUCUAUAAAGAAUUAUAAGAGUCCCUGGAGUUCUUGCCAAGAAGAUGCUGUUGAGGUCUACAUUAUCUACUACUCAUUGAUUGCUGAAAAUAUAAUCAUCAACUCAAUCAGUAAAUUUCAUUAAAAACCAAACAGAUGAAACAAUUUGACUAACUCUUCUUUGAGCUACAGAAGAAAAAGAACAUCUAUUAGAAAAAUAAACAGCAACCAUAAAUAAAGUAUCUUGUUUUUAAUCUAGUCUUUUUAUAAGAUUGUCUCUAUUUCUAAAUUGUAGUUAUUCAUUCUGGGAAAAUCUGUAGUUUGUUUCUAAAUGAACGCACAGAUUACUUUAAGUACGAGAUAAACUUUUGGAAUUUAACAAUGCAGUAUUUGCUCUUUAAAUUGUUCCUUUCAUAGCAGCUAACAGAAGAGAACAAACAAUAGUUUCUCCAUAUUCUUGGAAAAGUUUAUCUUGCAAGAGGGGUGAUACAAUCCUGUACUUAUUUUCUUUGUCAUUCUGAUAUGAUUAUUUAACUUCUUAUAUAUCCUGAGGUGACAAAGGAAUUUUUAGAGACCAUACUGCUCUUCACAGAACACUUCCAUUUUCUCUGAGCUAAACAUUAGGCAAAUUCUCUUAUUAGUUUUAGCUUAAGAUGAGUAUAUCUCAAGGAUCUCAUUUUUGCAAGGAAUUAAAAGGUCAGAAGAAUAAAUCAGAGAACUCCUAAAGUUAAACACAAUGCAUAUUAUUCUCCGGGCAGUAUGAAAAGGUAACUUUGUCCAGCUAUUGUGAUAGGUUGAUUUGAAUAAUCUCAAAAAAUUGAUACUACAGCUAAAUAGAAUAAUACAGACAUUGGAAAUUCAGCAUUCAAGAGCAGUAGCCUUCAUUAGCUCACUCAAUGUGUACUUCCUGAGUUUUUCCACUGUAUAAAGGCUAGAGAGGCACAAGGAACAGAAAACUGUAUGUACCAGAGCAGAUUACAGGUUGCCCUAUGCAAAGAGCACAGAAUCUACAGAAAUUAGAGGAUCAGAAAUACACAUGAAAUUUAAUUGUGAUAUAAGUCAAGAAGAGAAAACAACAUAUUUAUAUUUGCUAAACAUAUACUCAUUUACUAAAAAUGAGAGGCACAAAUAAUAAAAGUUAUAGAAGAUCACAGAAGUGCAUAUGCAUUUUGAAGAUAGUUGGUCUUAGGUAAAAGUCAUUGGCCAGCAGUUCUGACCAUCAUCAUUAAGUGGCUUCAUAACAUUGGAACCUACCUCUGACUUAGUACCACAGGGAUUCUCUAAGCAAAGUUCCUUUAGUUAG